RNAcentral lists this non-coding RNA (96 nucleotides) under Vibrio nigripulchritudo. RNAcentral describes it as "c-di-GMP sequence". It matches the Rfam family "c-di-GMP-I riboswitch aptamer". From Rfam's summary of the family: GEMM was predicted in a large-scale screen for bacterial structured RNA regulatory elements. Genes associated with GEMM are involved in a diverse array of functions, including chemotaxis regulation, signal transduction, secretion and chitin. Lineage: Bacteria; Pseudomonadati; Pseudomonadota; Gammaproteobacteria; Vibrionales; Vibrionaceae. The record is from Rfam by way of RNAcentral.
CGACUCUUAGGGCAAACCCAUUGAGAAGUGGGGGCGCAAAAUGACAGUACCUAGUUAACUUUAGGACGUUCAAUUUAGGUAGGCUGCAUUGCUGAG